Molecule: ribosomal RNA, 431 nt
Filed under: uncultured prokaryote
Description: partial 16S ribosomal RNA
Source: RNAcentral
CCCUACGGGGUGCAGCAGGCCGAGAGUCCAGAGACUCCUAACGUCGUCUCCUACAAUGGCUUGAGAAGACUUUGUCACUGGCCCUGCGUGCGUUGGAUCUGUCGCAGACGGGAGGUGAUUUCGACCAGGCGCCGGAACCGGGCUGGGUCUUGAGGCCGUAAAGACGGUGCGCAGGUGUGGUUUCUGCCCCUUUCACGUUCAGUCCUUUCUUUACUUUGUCGUGUUCCCUUUGUUAUCGGCCACAAAGAACAGCGAACGGACCGGCGCAAGUUUCACAUGCACGCGCGUGACGGUCCCCUCUUUGCCGAGAGUGUGCUCAACCUCGGCCGGGCCGAUCUUCCCGUCAUGCGGGUUCCAGAUUGCCGGUGCAACCUUCCCACGCAAAGCCACCCAGGUAUCCACCUCCGCAUCGGAGGAAUUGGCGGGAGGGC